RNAcentral lists this long non-coding RNA (403 nucleotides) under Lynx pardinus (Iberian lynx). The record is from RNAcentral. Lineage: Eukaryota; Metazoa; Chordata; Mammalia; Carnivora; Felidae.
CUCACUGAGGCCCGUACCUGUCCGGGAAAGGGCGGCCGGCCCGGCUCCCUGCCCACGCCACCUGACUCUGGUUCAGCUGUCGGGAGAUUUGGGACAUGUUCUGGCCCGUUGACGAGGAGGACUGGAUGUCAUUCACACCAGGCACGUGGACCACGGAAGAGCUACGAGAGACGAAGUCGCUUUUGUCCCCGGGAGACCCCUCGCCCGCGACGCGGGUCCCUGGGCCCUCCUGUUCAAUCCCCCGUGCGGCCUCUGUCCGUCCGUCCGUCUCUCCAGGGCAGCACGUCACGGGACAAAAAGGCCCCCAGCCCGUCACCGCUGCACUCUGCCUCUUUGGCCCCAGCAGGGCCCGCUCUCUCUUCCCCGCGGCCCAGACCCCACCCGUGUGUCUCUUGCUCCCCGC